This is an RNA transcript of Carassius gibelio (silver crucian carp), 1329 nucleotides long. RefSeq lists it as uncharacterized. The record is from RefSeq and is a predicted model, not a curated record. The transcript has 6 exons. Lineage: Eukaryota; Metazoa; Chordata; Actinopteri; Cypriniformes; Cyprinidae.
CAUGUAACUGUAGGGCCGAAAAUUUUCAUAAAUAAAUGAAAAUACUGCAUACCUUAUCAUAUACUGUCUUGGUGGUUGAAAAUGGAUCAAACAAUCCUGUGUGUACGAUUUAAUUUGGUUCAUCUUAUUUGUUUCAUUUAACUUGUGUUUAGUACAGAAUCAGUCCUUCAUUCAAUGUUUUUAGUCGUUUCCUCUUUUUAAAAUUUGUGAUGAAAUAUACAAGGAAUCUGAUGGGAUUCAAAUGAUGUGUUACCGUCAACUGAUGAUAUCUGAGGCUUUACUCAAAGAGGAAAUCACCGCCUAAAACCUAGUUUCACAGCAUGAGACACUUCAGCAAAACAUUGUGAGGCAGAAGCCACACAGUGCUUUCCCUGGAAAGAGAGAUGUGCUUCCCUCUGAUCUUUUGUGGGUGGAUGAUGUUUUCUUCAGUCUUUGCUUUUGGUGAUGUGGCAGUGAAUCGCACGAAACCGUUAUGUGUCAAUCGCGGACAGUCUGCCAAAAUCAGAUGCAACUACAGCCGAACAAAUGACACAGAGAGUAUGACAGCAGCUCUGCAAACAUUAAAUCUUACACUGUGUUCAUAUUACUUUUUUCACAAUACAUGGAAAGAACACCAUUGCAAAGAUUCUGUCAGAUUCACAUGGAUUCCAGAGACUAAGGACAUGACGUUUGAACUCCUAAAUCUCCAAAUUCAGGAUACCGGCACAUACACCUGUUCUGUGAAGAGGAUUGUAAAACCACCUGAAGUGGAUCUCGGAGUUCAAAGAGUUCAAUGCGUCCCGUCUUGUUGCUGUCCUGUGUUAAGAGGCCUGAUGGAUCUUUCAUGAUUCUGUGCUCUGUGGAAUUUUACCCUGAUUCUCUUGAACAGAUGUGGAUCAGAGAUGGAGACGUCCUCAACAGCUCAUACUCAAACAAAUCAUUCAAUGGAUCCUUUAGUCACCAAUCAUACCUUAUAUUGCCACCACAAACUUUCAAUGAUACAAUCUACUCCUGCUGGGUAAACCACCCGUCUUUAAACAAACCACUCGUGGCCAAUGUAUCGAGCUCUGUCUGUUAUGAAAGUGACGGUGUAUCUGUGAUUGGGACAGUAGUGUUUGUCAUGCUGAUAGUGACACUGACUGUCUUUUUGAUCGCACUAGUCAUAUGCAAACAUUACAGAAGAACAUGUCAGCAGUCUGUGAGUGUUACAGUUGAGCCUGUCCUCCCUGAUCCCCUGCAGUCUGAGAUACUGUACUCGACACUGGGUGACCAUCAUCCAGUCCGCUGCAGCCCUUCUGAUGUCCGAUCAAUUGCAUAAUAAACACUGAAUGAGCCAAUAUUACAAUGUUA